GACCUACAGCUGAAUGUUAUCACUUCCAGGUGAAGGGGUCCCAGGGCCUUGCUGGCCUGGAAGUAGAGUUAUACAGACAUCGCCUGCUGAUGCUCCCUUAUCCUCCAGAUCUCUGGGUCUCCUUCUAAAACAUUAGGACUAGAAGAAACUACGAGAGCAUCCAAGCAUUUCCUCCAACGUUCUGUUUUACAGUGUGUCCCCACUAGAAUGUAAGUUCCACGAGAGCAGAGAAGCUGACUGUCCGGCAGUUCUCUAACGUGCACCCAGCUUCUGGAACAGUGGCGAGCUCAGAGCAGGCCCUCAAUCAAGCAUCUGUUGAAUGAGCGCUUUGCGGGAGCCCAGAGCAGCGACCACCGGAAAGACGAAGGUCUGACUCCCACCCGUCCCCAGACAAGCGUUUCUGAUGUUUCCUCCUGAGAUGGGCAGCCACACGCCCUUGGCCUUCACCUUGAGCUGACAGGCUGGUGUCUGCGGCCCCCAGAGGCUUGGCCGGAUCUGUGGCCAGCUCCCACAGGAAGACGACAGCACAGCCCCCACCUGCACACACCCCAGCAACUGUCCUCAGCUCAGUUCUCCUCUGACAAACCUCGCUAGCGUCCUUGGCUUUUCACUCCUCAGGCUUGUGGCCAGGAAAUGCGACUCCAGAGGCACUGUCUGUGACACUUGGGAUAUGUCAGCGAUCGAAAGAGACCACGAUGCCUGCCCGUGGGGACUUCGUGUUCCAGUGGAAGAAGACAGACAAUUACACAAAGAUCAGAAGAGGAUGUGAGGUCAAGCCCAGUGCUCCAGAGGCCCGUGUGGUCUUUGUUCCCCAAGGAGGCAGGACAGGACAGAGGUUAUAAGGGCUUAAGUUCCAAUAUCAAACUAGAUUCAAAGACCAGCGUCAGCGCUUACCAGCUACAUGACUGUGGGCGUCAUAUUCCGUCUCUCUGAGCCUCAGUUCCCUCUACUUCAGAACGAAGAUAAUAGUGCACCUACCUCGAAGGGCUUUUUUAAGGAUUAAAUGAAAUAAUGUACACAAAUUCCUUUGCCCGCAGGAAGAACCCAAUAAAACUCAGCUGUAAUG
Molecule: long non-coding RNA, 1066 nt
Organism: Equus asinus (donkey)
Lineage: Eukaryota; Metazoa; Chordata; Mammalia; Perissodactyla; Equidae
Source: Ensembl